This 253-nucleotide ribosomal RNA is filed under the name uncultured bacterium. RNAcentral describes it as "partial 16S ribosomal RNA". It matches the Rfam family "Bacterial small subunit ribosomal RNA", at positions 524 to 776 of the family's 1533-position model. The record is from RNAcentral.
GACGUAGGGUGCGAGCGUUGUCCGGAUUUAUUGGGCGUAAAGAGCUCGUAGGCGGCUCGUCGCGUCGACCGUGAAAACCCGCGGCUUAACUGCGGGCUUGCGGUUGAUACGGGCGGGCUAGAGUUCGGUAGGGGAGACUGGAAUUCCUGGUGUAGCGGUGAAAUGCGCAGAUAUCAGGAGGAACAUCGGUGGCGAAGGCGGCAUCCUGGACCGGUAUUGACGCUGAGGCGCGAAAGCCAGGGGAGCAAACGGG